Molecule: ribosomal RNA, 411 nt
Filed under: uncultured microorganism
Description: bacterial SSU rRNA
Rfam family: Archaeal small subunit ribosomal RNA
Source: RNAcentral
GUGCACCAGUCGCGAAACCUCCGCAAUGCGCGCAAGCGCGACGGGGCCAUCCCGAGUGCCGCUCGCUGAGGGCGGCUUUCUCCGGUGUAAGUAGCCGGAGGAAUAAGGAGAGGGCAAGUCUGGUGUCAGCCGCCGCGGUAAUACCAGCUCUCCGAGUGGUGGGGACGAUUAUUGGGCCUAAAGCGUCCGUAGCCGGCUUGACAAGUCUCCCGUUAAAUCCAGCGGCCUAACCGCUGGGCUGCGGGAGAUACUGUCAAGCUUGGGGGCGGGAGAGGCCAGCGGUAUUCCCGGGGUAGGGGUGAAAUCCGUUAAUCCCGGGAGGACCACCAGUGGCGAAGGCGGCCGGCCAGAACGCGCCCGACGGUGAGGGACGAAAGCUGGGGGAGCGAACCGGAUUAGAUACCCGGUAGU